CUGUUCUUCUUCCUCAAAAGACAAGCAGCCCUGUCACUGAACGCACCUGUUUUCACACUCAGAAACUUUCAGCUUUAUUUACAAACUCCUCUUUAAUCUCGUUGGUAGGGUUUAAACUGGGAUGUUCUGUUUUCGGGAAAUCUCACCAUCCUAUGGAUAUUUAGCAAACUUUGAAAAGUCCGAUCAUCAGAACAUUGACACGGAAAUGGCUGCUCGGACAUCUGAGCGUCACUGCUUGACUCACCGUCUGUGUUUGCAGGAGGUAGUUUAAAGCAAAGAGGGACCAGCGACUGGACGGCAAACACAUCAUCACAGAUGUGCGUUCAGCUCUUCAGCAGGAUGUGCAGGUGAAGCUUGGAGAGGACAUCACUCUCCAGUGUCAGAUUACCACAGAUGAAAUAAUCUCAGUGCUGAAGUGGAGCAGAGCUGACCUGAACACAGACGGCUACGUCUACUUCUACAGGAACAAACGCUCCUAUGAAAACUACCAACAUCCAUCUUUUCAUGGCCGAGUGAAGCUGAGGGACCCAGAGAUGAAGGAUGGAGACGUUUCUCUGAUCCUGAACAACGUCACGUUUAAUGACACUGGGAUUUAUGAGUGUCAUGUAGCUGUGAGGAACCCUGUGAGAAGUAAAAGAGUUCACACUGAGAUCAGUCACUUCUUCAACCUCACAGUCACAGGUGAAACGGAUAAAACCAUGUCGGAAAAGCAGCUGAAGGAAAAAGGAGCUACAGAAGGAAACAUGUAUGAUAGAAAAGCAGAAACUCUGAGUGUUCAGAUUAUUGUUGUUGUUGUUGUUAUUGUUCUCGUCACUACUGUCAUUGGGUUUAUGGUAUUUUUGAGAUUUAAAAGAAAUAAGGAGCAGUUCAUAGCCAAGCCUAGUGAUGAGAGUGAGGAAAUGGCCUGAAAUGUUACUUUCUUUACGAUGCAAUAAAGAGCCCCUCGGGAUAAUUUCUUGUUACAUCUCAAUGUACAUCAAUUAUUUACAUAUACACUGCAUCUCUGCUGUGUGUGCUUCACCCGAACCCCUUUGAGAAUCUUUUAGAGUUGCUGACAGCUGUAAGUCAAGAUAAAUGUUGUCCUUGCAUAUGCAAAGUGAAGCAACGAACUGUUAACAGCAGCUAACAGCUUGGUUAUUAAGGAGAUAAACAUGGUCCCUGUAGAAACAAGAAUUGGCACCCUCAUGUAUUGCAUUCAAAGGUUCAUAUGGAUAAGUUCGGAUAAGUUGCUGCUCAAAACAAAGGUCUUGUAUUGAUACCAGAAUCAGCUGUUUAAUGUAGAAACAGCACUGGUGUUCACAUUCAGUUCAGUUUUAUUUAUAUAGUCACAUUUCACAAUAGGUUUGACUUCAAGGUGCUUUAUGCUGUCAGGUUAACACCCAACAAUAGCAAAGAAAGCUCCAACAAUCAAGCUGUGAACAAGCACUUGGGUAGACUCUUUAUAUUCAAUCAUCAAACAAAAGAAGCUUCAGUGACACUGAAAUUACAUGUAACUUAAACUUAAACUCUGCUGAUAAUAACUUCUGUUCACUGGUAAAUUAAAUGGACUGAUCCUUACAUAGCACUUUUCUACUCUCCCGGAUCGCUCAGAGCGCUUCAUACUACAUGCCACAUUCACACAGGAACUUUCUUCUAUGCUUUAAGUGCUUUCUAUUUAACAUUCAUUCUCUGAUGGACGCAUCCGAGAGCAACUUGGGGUUAGUAUCUUGCCCAAGGUUUAUGACCCCGCCCUCAGUUUGUUCUUCUUCCUUUAAAAGACACUUGAGCGUGCACUUGAAAACAAACACACCCGCUUUCACGCUUGGAAACUUUCAGCUUUAUUGAAAAACCGGGAUCUCCUGUUCUCGGGUAAUCUCACCAUCCUUUGGAUAUUUAGCAAACUUUGAAAAGUAGGAUGAUCCGAACAAUAAGACGGAAAUGGCUGCUCGGACAUCCGAGGUUCCGAGCUGCACUCACCGUCUUUGUCUGCAGGUCAGGCUGCAGACAGACACUUCACUUCCCAGCCUCCAGUCACAGCAGUCACAGAUGGAGUCCCUCAUAGUCUUCUUGUUCAUGAUUUCUUGCUCUUUAGCUCUGCAGCAGAAUCUGCAGGCGAAGCUUGGAGAGGACAUCACUCUCCAGUGUCAGAUUACCACAGAUGAAAUAAUCUCAGUGCUGAAGUGGAGCAGAGCUGACCUGAACACAGACGGCUACGUCUACUUCUACAGGAACAAACGCUCCUAUGAAAACUACCAACAUCCAUCUUUUCAUGGAAGAGUGAAGCUGAGGGACCCAGAGAUGACAGAUGGGGACGUUUCACUGAUCCUGAACAACGUCACGUUUAAUGACACUGGGAUGUAUGAGUGUCACGUAGCAGUGAGGAACCCUGUGAGAAGUAAAAGAGUUCACACUGAGAUCAGUCACUUCAUUGACCUCAUUGUCACAGACCAGAAAAACAUCACAGCUGAGUCUGGGCAGAACAUCUCGCUGCCAUGUGGAGCUCCAACUAAUAAUAAUCAGAUGUUGGCUGUUCAGUGGAGCAGAGCUGACCUGGAGCAAGAAUAUGUGCUUUUGUACAGAGAUGAGGUUUUUGUUCCAGACAACCAGCAUCCAGCUUUUAAGAAGCGGGUGGAUCUGCAGAGCAGACAGAUGAAGGAUGGAGACGUGUCUUUGAUUCUGAAGAAUGUGACGGUUAAUGACACUGGAACAUACGAGUGUUGUGUCUUCAGGAGAGGAAAAAACCACAGGAUUAGCACCAUCAGCCUGAGUGUUGUUCCUCCAUCAGAUGGAGAGGAGGAGGGUGGAGUCAGCAGAGGACGCUUUGGACUUGUAGCUGCUCUGCCUGCUUUUGUUGUGAUCAUCGCUGUCAUAGUUGUGAUCUCCAAGAAACAGAAGAUGAAUAAUACGCUUACUUCCUCCCCACGGCCAGUGUAGAUGAAGCCUCUGCAGUAUCUCACAGCUGUGGACACAGAUGGAUUCUCUCAAGUUCCUCCUGAUUUCAUCCCUAAUUUCUGCAUCUGCAUACCAGACAAACAUCACAACUGAGACUGGACAGAACAUCUCGCUGCCAUGUGGAGCUCCAACUAAUAAUAAGCAGAUCUUGGCUGUGCAGUGGAGCAGAGCUGACCUGAAGGAAAAAUAUGUCCUUUUGUACAGAGAUGAGGUUUUUGUUCCAGACAACCAGCAUCCAGCUUUUAAGAACCGGGUGGAUCUGCAGGACAGACAGAUGAAGGAUGGAGACGUGUCUCUGAUUCUGAAGAAUGUGACA
Molecule: long non-coding RNA, 3247 nt
Organism: Oreochromis niloticus (Nile tilapia)
Lineage: Eukaryota; Metazoa; Chordata; Actinopteri; Cichliformes; Cichlidae
Exons: 10
Source: RefSeq, a predicted model, not a curated record